GUACACUCCUACGGGAGGCAGCAGUGGGGAAUAUUGCACAAUGGGCGCAAGCCUGAUGCAGCCAUGCCGCGUGUAUGAAGAAGGCCUUCGGGUUGUAAAGUACUUUCAGCGGGGAGGAAGGCAAUACGGUUAAUAACCGUGUUGAUUGACGUUACCCGCAGAAGAAGCACCGGCUAACUCCGUGCCAGCAGCCGCGGUAAUACGGAGGGUGCAAGCGUUAAUCGGAAUUACUGGGCGUAAAGCGCACGCAGGCGGUCUGUCAAGUCGGAUGUGAAAUCCCCGGCCUCAACCUGGGAACUGCAUUCGAAACUGGCAGGCUUGAGUCUUGUAGAGGGGGGUAGAAUUCCAGGUGUAGCGGUGAAAUGCGUAGAGAUCUGGAGGAAUACCGGUGGCGAAGGCGGCCCCCUGGACAAAGACUGACGCUCAGGUGCGAAAGCGUGGGGAGCAAACAGGAUUAGAAACCCCUGUAGUCCCAU
RNAcentral lists this ribosomal RNA (476 nucleotides) under uncultured organism. RNAcentral's name for it is "partial 16S ribosomal RNA". It matches the Rfam family "Bacterial small subunit ribosomal RNA", at positions 331 to 798 of the family's 1533-position model. The record is from RNAcentral.